CGAAGAUUAUGUGGCUUACAGCUCAGGUCUAAAAGCAGCUUAUGAGGGCUACCAAAAAUGGAGCAAAGAAACACGACAAGAGCCUAAGCUUCCAGGAUUGAACUAUACACCGAAGCAGUUGUUUUGGAUAAAUGCAGCAAAUGUUUGGUGCGAGAGAGAAAAAGAAUUCUAUGGUCAACGUCACUUUUCCGGUGAGACAUAUCCGAAUCGCUAUAAGGUAUUAGCGGCAGUGGUUAGCAUUCCAGCGUUUGCUGAAGACUUUGGGUGUGUGCGCCGAAAAACACAGUGUCAGAUUUGGUAGGGAUGUCCUACAUAUAUUUACGAUCAAGAAUUCAUAUUGCAAUUAUAUAUAUCCCAGGAAUAACUUUAUAAUAUAUUUGAGUUAUUGAUUUAUAGUUGUAACUCAUGAUGCCACCUUGAUUACAUUGGUAUAACAGAUACCAUUUCUAAACCGAUGUGAAUCUGUAAACAAUUUCUUGAAUUUAAAUAAA
Long non-coding RNA from Stegodyphus dumicola, 491 nucleotides. NCBI's taxonomy places the organism in Eukaryota, Metazoa, Arthropoda, Arachnida, Araneae, Eresidae. The record is from RefSeq and is a predicted model, not a curated record.